RNAcentral lists this long non-coding RNA (954 nucleotides) under Nicotiana benthamiana. RNAcentral's name for it is "long non-coding RNA (NBEN_LNC007294)". The record is from RNAcentral. Lineage: Eukaryota; Viridiplantae; Streptophyta; Magnoliopsida; Solanales; Solanaceae.
GGUUGUUGAUCAAAUUAUCUAACGGUCCAGAUCACUCCCUUCAACCUUAACUCUAGAGAAGGGCUUGGUUAUCCCAAAAACCUAAAUCAUUUCCUCCAUGACCCAUCUGCCCCUUUUCCUUUUCCUCUCUAUUCUCUCAACCCUACAACUGCAUCAAUCCUCAAAACCUUGCACAAAUCCGUGCAAGGUCAGCAAAUCAACUACGAAAUCAUAUCCUUUAUCCCCGCUAGCCGCAAUUCACGCUUGGAUAUUUCCUCUUUCAUUGUUAUAAUUCAAAAUCUUAAAUAAAAACAUAGGUCUAAAAUGAUGACUUGGGUUUUCAUCCGUUUUUGGAUCUGUGCUUUCAAAUGGAAGCAUGCAUGGAGAUAAUAUCUAGCUUCAUCAUAGUUAUUCGAUGUCCAGAGAUCAAAUCCAGUGCUUCUUGGGUCUAUAGAGACGAUUUUACCUAAAAUCGAAGCUUGUUUCUUGUCCCUUACAUCGGAAACCACCGUGGGUGAAAGGGUCGAGUGAGAGAGAAGAGAGAGUAGUCAGGGUAGAGAGAAUUUUAAUGAAAAAAUAAAAAAAAGUAUUAAGAUAAAGAUAAUAAAAAAGGAAAAAAAAAUGUGACCAAAUAUUUGGACGGGGAGAUUUUAGUGGAAAGAAUAAAAUUAGGAAAAAUAAAAAAUACACAUAAAAAUAAAAAAAAAUAAGAUAAAAAUAGACUAAAAAAGAGUGAGGGGCUACUACUAGAAAGAAUAAAAUAAUAAAAAGAGAAAAUAACUAUAAAAAAUAAGAUAAGAAAAAAUAAAUAUGAGUGCAUAAUUUUAUUAGAAAGGAAAAAACUAAGUGAAAAAAAAAACAAAUAAAUGAAGAAAAAAAAAAGACAAAAAGCGUAAAAGAAAAUAAAGAAAAAAGGAGAAGGAUCUUUGGUGAAGCCUAUGCGUAGAAAGGAGGGGAUAUACAGGUCUUAAAGUC